UGACAGAUAAUGACGCUCGACUUAAAUGUUUAAUGCUGUGAUAAGUUAUAUUGCAUAAUGAAGGAGAAAUAUAAAUUUAAAUUUUAAAGUCAUUAUUGUACAAGCCCAAUUUUUAGCCCAAAACCCAAUUAACCCAAGAACCCAAAAUAAUCACAUACCAGCAAAACCCUCUACCCAAUACAACCCAAAAACCCCACCUAAACCUAACCCAGCUACCAGCCCAAUUACAAUUAACCUAACCCAGACCCGAAGCCCACUUAGCCCAGGCCCGAUUUCAGUCUCUGAAACCCUAGGCGCCGCCCCUUGACUUUUGGCUUCCUGCCAUCGCCGCCACCGCCGUUGGACGUCCCAUCCGCGUCCAUCACGUCGGCCUCCCCCCACUUGCGCCGUCACCUGCAAAAGAAACAAAACGAAGGAAAGAGGGCAAUAGAAACAGUGGCAUUCGGCUAUAAAAGCCAAGAAAAAUGUAUUUUGAAGCUCUUGGCUUCCUAUUUUGUAACCAAAAAGUAACAGACAUUAGCAAAAUAAAUAAAAAAACAAGAGAAAUAUUAAGAGGUGAUUUUCGUUCUCCCGUUUUCAGAUUUUUUUUUUUAUUUUNNNNNNNNNNNNNNNNNNNNNNNNNNNNNNNNNNNNNNNNNNNNNNNNNNNNNNNNNNNNNNNNNNNNNNNNNNNNNNNNNNNNNNNNNNNNNNNNNNNNCAAACAAAGAAACGAUUUAAAAGGGAAAGAAAAAGAAAGGAGUACUUGAGCCGUUCCGUUUGCGCCGUCGCCGGAGUUCAUUUUUGGGUUACCGAAAUCGGACCAUGAAGGCGACGUUUGGGGCUUCGCUCCUUGGCCCUACGGCUCUAAAGCCCGAUCAUUAGUCGGUCCCUGAAACGGGGUUAAAAAACCGACCUUUUGGAAACUCCGACCACCGCAUGUGGCGGGGUCAUUGGUGGCCCGUUCGGCCAAAGGAAAAGGAGGGCUGAGGGUUUCUUUUUUUUUUCUCUGAAGUUUUUUUUUAAGCAAUGAAAGAAUGAGUUUUUAGAAAAAAAUUGUUUUAAAUAAGAUUUUCAAAACGGCGCCGUUUGGGCUUAGUUUUCAGAGACCAAAACGGCGUCGUUUUGGUCUCUCACCCGCGCGGUGACCCGACCCGGGGAGGAUCCGCGUGUUUUUGACUCUUGGGUAAUUUGCGCAUUUAGUCCCUUUGAUUUUGUGGAACUUUCAAGGAGGUUUUUCCCAUAUUUGCAAUUUUUGCCUCAAAUUUUCGCGUUUUCCUCGAUUUGGUCCCUGGACCAUGUGCAUGCGUUGCACUGGAACGGUGUCGUUUGAAUGACAGAGGGAUAUUUAUCAGUUUAGUCCCCCUUUAUUUCUCGCGCAUCACAACUUGAUCCCUUACCUUAUUUUAUUUUUAAUUUCGGCCCUGAGAUUUUGUUUCAGUUUUAAUCUAGUCUUAUUGUUAUUAUUAUUAUUAUUUAUAUUAUUGUUACUUAUCAUGUUGUUAUUAUGUAAUAGAUUAUAUAUAUAUAUAUAUAUAUACAUGUAUCUACAUUUUUAACUUAUUUAAUUCAUACAUAAAUACUUUUUUUUUUNNNNNNNNNNNNNNNNNNNNNNNNNNNNNNNNNNNNNNNNNNNNNNNNNNNNNNNNNNNNNNNNNNNNNNNNNNNNNNNNNNNNNNNNNNNNNNNNNNNNCGUAUGUAUAUCUAUAUACUUUUCUUCCACAAAUAUGUGUAUACUUAUUUAUAUAUAUAUAUUUUUAUAUAUUAAAAUAUGUAUAUUUAUAUAUAUACAUUAUAUAUUUUAUCUUACCUUUUUUAUAUAAUCCACAUAUAUAGUUCCCUUAUAUGUACACACACAUGUUCAUAUUUUAUAAUUUUCAUACAUUUUCCUUUAUUUUUAUGUUCAUUUAUGUAUUUAUUUAUAUGCCCAUUUUUAUGCUUUAGUUUAUUUAUUUAUUUAUUUGCUAUGGUAUAUGCAUGAUUGAUUUAUUUCAUUAUUCGUUUUUGUUCAUUUUUUUAUUUACAUAAUCAUGUUUAUUAUUCCAUCAUGCACAUAAAUAUCAUAUUUCAAAAAAAAAGGAAAAUAUUUCAAAUUAAGGCAAUAUUUAGCGUUUGGAAAUUCGAGGAACGUGCCCUAAGGUACUGGGUUUCGAUUUCUCGUUCGACCAAAUAGCUAAAUAUCCUUUUAAAAACUUUUCAAAAAUAAGGCAAUAUUUUGCGUUUGGAAAUUCGAGGAACGUGCCCUAAGGUACUAGGUUUCGACUUCACGUUCCACCAAAUGACUUAAUAUCCUUUUCAAAAAUUUUCAAAAUAAGUCAAUAUUUAGCGUUUGGAAAUUCGAGGAACGUGCCCUAAGGUACUGGGUUUCGAUUUCUCGUUCGACCAAAUAGCUAAAUAUCUUUUUAAAAACUUUUCAAAAAUAAGGCAAUGUUUUGCGUUUGGAAAUUCGAGAAACGUGCCCUAAGGUGCUGGGUUUCGAUUUCACGUUUAACCAAAUUGCCAAAUUUCCUCUUGAAUUUUAAUCCAUGCCAUUCGAGUUUUUUUUUAAGGAUCGUAUUUUAAAUUUCUUUAAAGUUUUCAAUCUUCGACACUAAGACAUUAAGUAAUCAACUAGGUACCAAUUUUGGGCGUAUCGAGGGUGCUAAUCCUUCCUCGUGCGUAACCGACUCCCGAACCCGUUUUUCUGAAUUUCGUGGUCCAAACUUGUUGUUUUAAUAAAAUCAAAUCUUUUAUUAAAAACAACCACUUUUCGAGGUGAUCCAAUCACACCUUAUCAAAAAGGAUUGGUGGCGACUCCCGUUUUCGUUUUCAUUUUCAAAAACCUAAGUCGACCCCGUUUUCCAUCAAAAAAAAUGGUGUCAACAGUUUGGCGACUCCACUGGGGAAAUAAAAUAAGUGGGUCAAGCCACGGGUUGAAUAUUUCUUAUCUUUUUGUCGAAAGUUGAAAUUUGAUUUAAAUAUACGAUCCUCUGAUUGCAUUUCAUUUGUUUUGAGUUAUAGUUUUUAUAAUGUUUUGUAUUUCAAAUUUCUAUAUAUCUCUGCACAUUGCAUUGCAUGACCGUUGGUCACACCUUUUAAGUGGGAGUGAGAAGCUACUCCUUCGUGAGGUUUUCACCUCCGUGCAGGAUAGUGGAUCGCUUUCGGGAUACAUCCGUACCUAUGUCUUCGUGAGAUUUUCAUCUCCGUGCAGCCAUAGGGAAAUGUAUUCCCCUGAACCGAAUAUGAACCUAUAAUGGGUGAAGAUCGAGGAAUCUGCUGGUUCGGGUACCUUAUCUUUAGAACCAACCCUCAUAUAGUGGACUUAGGAACUUAACCUAGGUAGAGCCACUCCAAAUCCCAAGUAUUUACCUGAUUAGGUACUUUUUGUUUUCUGCGCUUGCUUAUGUUUCGUUCUGACCCCUCUUGUUGUGUUUUGAUUAUGAUUGCAUUACAUUGCAUUUGCAUAUUAGGAAAGAGAUAUUGAUUCAAGUCCGAUUACUAAAUUAGAAAGCUUGUCAUGGAAUACGGAUUCCUUGAUAAAGUGGAAAACAAUACGACUUCCCGAAUAUAUUCUGAGAAACACAAGAAUGGCGAUGGAAAAGUUCGUGACCCUGCUUCGUAGCCUGAGGAUUCAAGGCAAUUGUCUAAGAGCCUUCAACAUUCCACCCCCUUAAAGAGGCGGACGAGCUUUAUGAAGAUGGGCAGAUGAUGGAUCGCGACCAAGAUCAAGAAAAUGAGCUAGCAAUGGCAUCUAUUGGAGAGAUUACCUCAAACAUGCGGAUGAAGAAAAACCGAUGUUGUUUCUUGGAAUAUGAGGGUGAGGUCGUACAUGUAUCCGUUUUAUGUAAGGGAAUUAUUUCCUAGAAAAGUUUCCUAAAUGUAAUUGAAUCAGAAUCAACGUCUCUUUAGGCAUUCAUUUCAUGCAUUUGCAUUACAUUGUAUCAUAUGCAUUAGAUUUUCAUGAAGUGACCCUAAUUAGGUAAAAUUAUUUCAGAAAGUCUGGAAAACCAACAUUUUUGCGGUACCUGAAUAUAGACUAAAGGAAUGGAACGAAGGUUGGAAAAAUUAGAGCGAAUGCAGAUUCAGAUGCAGGAGCAAUUGACUGAAUUUCAACAGGAGAUGAGAGAUUAGAUUCUAGGAUUACAGAGAACCAUGAUAAGUCAGUUCAACCGAUUGCUAGCUGGAGAAAAAAGGAAGGACCCGAUGGACCACUCAGGGGUUGAUAAUGAGGAUUUUGCUUAUUCCCUAGAUUGUACUCCGAUAAGUACACAGAUCCAGCCAGAUGGGCGUUCACAUGGGGCACCCUUUACUAUCAGAUCACAACGGUAUCAGACUGGCACAGCAACACCAGUGGGUUGCUUGACGGACCCAAGGUCCAAAGUGAGGAACAAUUUUUCUGUUGCUCUCGACAACCUGGCUGAAACAAAACAGGCGAGGGUGGAAUACCUAAGUACCACAAAGGCCCCAAGGAAGGAGGGGAAUAAAUGGGAUAAUGCGGGCAGGUAUAACAAGGGCCACUCAAAACCAAUCACUGCGGGCCGACCAAAGACAGAAACCACCAGCCAUCAGAGGUCUUCAAAGCAAGAAUCUGGAGUGAAGCCAGGUAUUGAGAAGCUCCAGUUCAUACCAAUUCUGAUGUCAUAUAGUGAGUUAUAUCGAAGCUUAUUUGAUGCACAUGUGGUGUCCCCCUUCUACUUAAAACCCAUACAGCCUCCGUAUCCCAAAUGGUAUGACACGAACGUACAAUGCGACUACCAUGCGGGAAUUACGGGACAUUCAAUAGAGAACUACAUUGCCUUCAAGAAAUUGGUUGAAAAACUCAUUAAUAUGGGUGUUGUCAGAUUUGAUGACUCGUCUAGCGCAGAAACUCUACUACCUAGUCAUAUUGAUAAUGGGGUAGACAUGAAAGUAGGAAGGGGAUCAGUUAUUUCUGAUUUAGGAGGAAAUAAGGGAAAGACACGGAACCAUUGCGAUUUCCAUCACGAGAGGGGGUUCGAGACCUAAGAGAGUGUGGAAUUCAAGGCCUUGGUUCAGGACAUGAUGGACGAAAAGGGGAUGAAGCUUCGUGAGGAAAUUAAAGAGGAGGAAAACAUACGCUUAAUGUUGGCAAGCGUUCACACCAAUGACAUAUUUGAAGACACGAAUGAAAAGGAACCUUGUUAGAUAUCUGCCCUUAUAAAUCUGGAGUGUUCUAAGCAAUUGGGCUACGGAAGAAAUCCCUUUAGUUUUUAGGGCUUAUCUAGAGUAAUGUUCAGAACAUUUUGUUGUUUUUAGCCUAGAAGCAAUAGAAAUUCCUUUAUGAAAGAGGCUAAUGUCUGAACGUUAUUAUUCUAAUAAAAUACAUCUUUGCAUUCACUUUUGAGCCAAUAUUCUUUCAUUCUUUUUGAAUAAUUAUGUCUGAUUAUUUUUCUUUUGGAUUUUCUUCCACAUCAUUCAUUCAUUCAUAAUCAUAUUGUAUAAAUAAUUAUUCUUAAAUUCAUACAUUCUUUGUAUAUUCUUUUGUACCUACAGUAGGUCCUUGGAUAUCAACGACAUGAAUGACACUGUUACAGACUUAGAAUCUCCUUUUGAGUGAGACAUGUGUUUAGAGGGAUCUCACGCCUUUGAAGAUGACAUAGAUCGUAGCUUAUCUCCAAGCUUAUUGAGGAUGGUAGAACAAGAGGAUAAACAGAUCAUACCUCACAAGGAAUCAUUAAAAAUUGUGAGCGCGGUAAAGAUUAGAAUUGACUUGACCGCAGAGACGAAGCAAAGACAUUGUUGAGUCGCCUCUAGAGUUCAAUGAUGUCUUUGUAUGAUCAUACCAGGAUAUGCUCAGAUUAAUCGCUGAUAAGGAAAUCUGCACAGCAGCACGUUUUCAGAAAUUUGCAGUGAAUGAUGCAAUUCUUUGCCGGGGCAAUGCCUCUCUCGUUGAGUCAACAUAGCUUUGCCCAUUUGAAGUCGAGUUUCCAUCCCUUCAAGAUGUUGUUGGAUUUUAUCCUGAUUAAAGAAGAAGAUCCAAAGUUUUCUAUCGUAGUUGCGUCCCAAAAGGGCUCUAUGAAAGAAAUCUGGUACCAAAGAAGGUUUUUCGCAUACAAGAUGAAAGUGGAAGAUCUUAUGUGGAAGACUUUAGAAUAGCAUUGAUUCUGGUCGAAAAGCAUGACCAGGACUUGCCUGAUCUCAUGAGUUCAGACUCAAAAAAAAAUUCAAAAAUAAAAAAAAUUAAAAAAAAUCAAAAAAAUUAAAAAAUCAAAAAAUAAAAAAUCAAAGUCAAAAAUAGGGGAAAAAGAAAGAAGAAAAAAGAAAAAGAAAAAGGAGAGGUCAAGGCGAAAACCCACAAAGGGCGCUUUGACCAAAGGUGGAUCUAAGUUGAAAACCCGAAAAGGGCGACUCAAAUUUUGAGCAAAAUGAGGCAUGGAAUCACCAUUAUCGAAGACUUCUAAUGGGCAUUGCUUCAUUUUGAGAGGCUACUUUAUGAGCUAAAGUCAUCGUAUACCGAUACAGAAUUUCAGAGAAGAGGGUAUUAGAGAAUGCAUUGAGCUUAAACAAUAGCACUAUAGCUGAGGUCGCAAAUUAACUCAGAAGUGGACACCACGAUUCGUCACUGAAGUUCCUAGAGUUGAACAUCGAAAAUUGAAGGAAAAUAACUGAGACUUACAAUGAUUGACGUGAGAAAUUACCAUUUGCCCUAAUUGUUUGUCGAACAUCGGUACUGGGGCAACACUUCUCUUUUUGGUUUACAGGAUUGAGGUAGUUCUACCUAUUAAAAUCCCCUCAUUGCUUGUUAAAGGGAUCCAAUCGCAAUGUGAUCAGUUGGCCCUAGGAAAAGGGUUAAAAGCUAUUCAUCAGGGUCAGAUGUACCAUAAAUAAAUAAUAUGAGCCCAUAAUAAACAUGCUCGUCUCAGAGAAUUCCACAAGAGGGCUGGAUGUUGAAAAAUAUUCUUCCUUAACGAAAGGAUUCUAAAGGGAAAUGAAUGCCAAACUAGGAAAGUCCUUAUGUUGUAAAGAAGACCAUUUUUAGAGGAGCACUGAUCCUGAGUGAGAUUGCUAAUCCUAUAAACUCGGAUCCAGUCAAGAAACACUUUGUUUAAAGAAGAAGGAAGGACCAAGGUGAAAACCUGCAAAAGGGCACUUUGAAUAAAAAAACAAAAAAAAAGAGAUGAAAAAAAUGAAAAAGUAAAAAUGGAGAGGCUAAGGGGAAAACCCGCAAAUGGCAUCUUAGGCCAAAGGGGAUUUGAGUUAAAAACCCGAAAAGGGCGGCUCAAAUAUUGAUCAGAAUGGGGUAUGAAGUGAUUAGAUUGGGGCAUGUGGUGAUCCUGCUAUACCUGAAAGGGUAGGGCGACAUCUUGGGGCAUCGACAGAGUCCUGUAGAUCUCCUAAACACAUGUCAAACUCAGGAAAGUCCUCAGAAAGUUUGUACAGAGAAGUUCAAGCUGCGAUAUCUGGGGCAUCUAACCUUCAUACUAUUUAUUGAAUUUGUUGUUAUUGGAAUACUUCAUUCUUUUUCAAGAUACGUGUUCCAAUCAAUUCCUCUUUUAUUCUUGCUACCCUUGAUAAUUCAUUCAUUUCGAGCUUGCUCUCAAAUCAAUUCUAUUUCAUCCAUCGUUAUAUUCUUUUUUGAACAUGUUGCAUUGGAAUAAUGAUUAAUGGACUAAUAAAACUUUCACAAAGGAAGUUUUGCAUAUUACUCUGAAAAGUUUCUAAAUAAUAUAGGAACCUGAAACAGGAUUAUCGUUUAGAAAACACCAAGUUUAAAGGGUGAAAUAUCUAAGAAGGAAGAGUCUAAGUUAAAGACUAUCCUUUCAGAUUUUGUUGUCUAAACAUUGAUUGAACCAAAUGACAAGAUGUCGUGUUGGUGGCAAAGCUUCAAUGAACCGACAAGCGAUGUUUACCAGGCAAAAAGAAAAGGUCUUCUAGGAGAAGAAAAUUUUUGCAAUUGUGCAUGAGCAUUUGGUAUGACACCUUGGGGAUGAGGUAAAGGACCAAAGAGUUUCACAUUCAAUAUCAUUGAAUUGCGAUAGGAGAAGAUUGAGAAAAGUCAUAUUUCUACCCUUAAAUUACUGUGAGAGAAUGAUGGUACAAAUUUUGAUGUUCCAGUGGAUUGAACUUUGACGUGUACAGUGGGGGGCAAUCAGAUUAAGUGUUUCUUUGGAUAUGCUAGCCGAGCAAGAAGGCGGUGUAGCACGUCAGUGAUAAAGCCUUAAUAAGCUUUUGUGUGAUGAUAACCUAAGCAUUAAGGAAUCAUUUUCAUGACAUUUUGCAUGUCAUUCAUACACAUCUCGUUAGGAGCAUUUGAUUCGUUCUGAUCAUAUCAUCCUAAUCACUAGGCACAAUUAGGUUCAUAAAAUAGAACAUACAGGUCAUGUUCCCCAUAGAACAGAUCAAUGAAGACAUCAGAUCUUGCUUUCCUGUACUGACUGCGAAGCAGAUCAAAGACAACAGAUCUUGCCGUCCUGCCUUGAUAGUGAAGCAGAUCGAAGAUACAAGUUUUGUCUCCAUCGGUUGCGGUGGAACUGGUUGAAGAUAGCAGAUCUGGCCUUCCUGCGUUAACAGCGAAGCAGAUUGAAAACAAAGCCUUGUCUCCAUCGGUUGUAGUAGAGUUGAUUGAAGAAUGUCAGAUCUUAUCUCCCUGAGAUUACAGCAGAGCAGAUCGAAGCUAGUAAUCCUAUCUCCCUGAGAUUACAGUGGAGUGGAUUAAAAUAAAGGAUCUUAUCUCUCUGAAGUUACAGCAGAGAAGAUCGUAUCAGGUCUUAUCUCCCUGAGAUUAUAGCGGAGCAGAUUGAAGUUAGUAAUCCUAUCUCCCUGAGAUUACAGUGGAGCGGAUUAAAACAAAGGAUCUUAUCUCUCUGAAGUUACAGUAGAGUAGAUCGCAUCAGGUUUUACCUCCCUGUGGUUACAGUGGAGAACAUUGAAGCCAGUAAUUCUAUCUCCCCGACGUUGCGGAGUGGGUCGAAGCGCCAAUGCCUAUACCUCUGAAGUUGCAGUUGAAGUUACAAGUCUUAUCUCCCUGACGUUGCAGUAGGACAGACUAAAACCAUGAAUCUCACCCCCCUGAAGUUACAACAGAGUGGAUUGAAGCUACAAGUCUUGUCUUUUUGAAGUUGUAGCGGAAUGGAUCGAAGUGACAAGACACGGUAGACUGGAAUGAAGCUACUUGAAGAAGAAAGGCACCAAGAAGUCAAGACUCGGCGAGACCGGGCAAAAUUGGGCUUUCUUAGUCUUUGCUCUGUUAUCGUUACACGACAACGAGCAAAGAGUGGCAGCUGUACAAGCCCAAUUUUUAGCCCAAAACCCAAUUAACCCAAGAACCCAAAAUAAUCACAUACCAGCAAAACCCUCUACCCAAUACAACCCAAAAACCCCACCUAAACCUAACCCAGCUACCAGCCCAAUUACAAUUAACCUAAACCAGACCCGAAGCCCACUUAGCCCAGGCCCGAUUUCAAAAAAUAUCUGCCUAGGGUUUCAGAGACUGAAACCCUAGGCGCCGCCCCUUGACUUUUGGCUUCCUGCCAUCGCCGUCACCGCCGUUGGACGUCCCAUCCGCGUCCAUCACGUCGGCCUCCCCCCACUUGCGCCGUCACCUGCAAAAGAAACAAAACGAAGAAAAGAGGGCAAUAGAAACAGUGGCAUUCGGCUAUAAAAGCCAAGAAAAAUGUAUUUUGAAGCUCUUGGCUUCCUAUUUUGUAACCAAAAAGUAACAGACAUUAGCAAAAUAAAUAAAAAACAAGAGAAAUAUUAAGAGGUGAUUUUCGUUCUCCCGUUUCAGAUUUUUUUAUUUUUUUCUUUUUUUAUAUACAUCUACAAACAAAGAAACGAUUUAAAAGGGAAAGAAAAAGAAAGGAGUACUUGAGCCGUUCCGUUUGCGCCGUCGCCGGAGUUCAUUUUUAGGUUACCGAAAUCGGACCAUGAAGGCGACGUUUGGGGCUUCGCUCCUUGGCCCUACGGCUCUAAAGCCCG
Molecule: long non-coding RNA, 9891 nt
Filed under: Gossypium raimondii (Peruvian cotton)
Lineage: Eukaryota; Viridiplantae; Streptophyta; Magnoliopsida; Malvales; Malvaceae
Description: long non-coding RNA (GRAI_LNC005254)
Source: RNAcentral